RNAcentral lists this ribosomal RNA (485 nucleotides) under uncultured bacterium. Its description in RNAcentral is "bacterial SSU rRNA". It matches the Rfam family "Bacterial small subunit ribosomal RNA", at positions 30 to 507 of the family's 1533-position model. The record is from RNAcentral.
UUGAACGCUGGCGGCAUGCCUUACACAUGCAAGUCGAACGGCAGCACGGGAGCAAUCCUGGUGGCGAGUGGCGAACGGGUGAGUAAUAUAUCGGAACGUGCCCAGUCGUGGGGGAUAACGUAGCGAAAGCUACGCUAAUACCGCAUACGAUCUAUGGAUGAAAGCGGGGGAUCGCAAGACCUCGCGCGAUUGGAGCGGCCGAUAUCAGAUUAGGUAGUUGGUGAGGUAAAGGGCUCACCAAGCCGACGAUCUGUAGCUGGUCUGAGAGGACGACCCAGCCACACUGGGACUGAGACACGGCCCAGACUCCUACGGGAGGCAGCAGUGGGGAAUUUUGGACAAUGGGCGCAAGCCUGAUCCAGCAAUGCCGCGUGCAGGAUGAAGGCCUUCGGGUUGUAAACUGCUUUUGUACGGAACGAAACGGUGAGCUCUAAUACAGUUUGCUAAUGACGGUACCGUAAGAAUAAGCACCGGCUAACUACGUG